Long non-coding RNA from Ahaetulla prasina, 2213 nucleotides. RefSeq lists it as uncharacterized. NCBI's taxonomy places the organism in Eukaryota, Metazoa, Chordata, Lepidosauria, Squamata, Colubridae. The transcript has 7 exons. The record is from RefSeq and is a predicted model, not a curated record.
UGCAGCUUCUCCUUGGCUCUUCAAAAAUCUCUGGCCAGUACCGAUUCUUCUCCAGGUUCACCUGUCCUGUAAAGGAGGAGAUUCACAUUUUAACACUAAAGUUGGGUUUGCCAAACUGCUCAGAAAGUGAACAACCGGUUCUCCUGAAAUGGUGCGAAGUGGCUGAAUCCCAUCACUGACGAAGACCUUGCCAAAGUUAAGGCCCGCAAAGCUUUGAAUUCGAUCGUUUCUUCACUCCGGCAUCCGCAGGGUUCCCCUCCCAGCCGCAGAGGAAGAAGACCUCGGGACUCUCGCCUUUACAACGAAUUGCCCUAGGAGCCUUUCAAGAAGCAGAGCCGCCUCCCUUCAGCUUAUACCCGCAGGGUUUUCUUCCGACCGGGGAUGGGGGAGCCACGGAGAAGAACUCCAGGACAAACGGGCAGGAAAGGGUCCGGACCUCCGUGGGAAUCAAGGGGGUGGGAGGAAAGGCUUUGCCCACAGAGGGUACAACGAUGCCGGUCAGCAAAAAACAGAACCCAAUGCCACUGCUGUCCUUCUCACCGGCCGAUAUUCACUAACGCGGGUCAGUCCAGCCAGGAAAACCACCUUUCAAAGAUUAAAACGUCUUCUGUUGCUUAUAUGCUGUUUCUGGACAAAGACCUUUACUUGAAUUAGUAAAACUAUUACAAUUCAGAAUGAAGCAGAUGAGCCUAAAAACUUUUGGUUUGUCUACAUUUUAAAUUGCUCUAAGAGGUAAGAAGAUGCCCACAUAACUUUGACUAGAAGACCAUCGUCAGUCACCCCUUUUCUGGUUCCAUUUCAAAGUUCUGCUGCUGAACAUGAAUGACUGCCUAAUAAAGGUCCAUAGCAAAACAUAGUAAAUUUAGGUGUGUAAGCUGCUGUCCUUGGUGAUCAUCUGAGAUGUUGCAGGAAUGUCUCCUUCAUCCUCAUUUCUCCAACUAACCAUGGUUUGCAGGAACAGAAGGGAAGAUAUUGGUAUAAUCUGUAUCAAAAGACCUGCUGGCCAUCGCUUUAUCACAUGGAUUUUCCGUACAUAUCCAAAUAUCUACAGAGGUAGACCUCUGACGUGUCCUGAAUGGCCCUGCAAGGAGAGUUAGGCAGAGAGACAUCGACCCAUGCUCAGAGCUUUGACCUACAAGCCAAUAAGGAGAAUAAUAUGGAGAAAAAGGAGUUCCAGCAGUUAAAAAGGAAGAAACAGCUGCAAUCACACAUUGCUCCCAGAAGCACGAAGCUGAAGCCUGAAGAUGACGAAUGAGACUUCGUCGAAACGUCGCCAAGACACUUCCAAUUUUACGCGGGAGAAAACCUGAAUAACCAAAGACCUACAUACAAACACCCGCGAAAACCUCAGAAAACAAAUAUAUAUAUAUAUAUAUAUCAAAGAGCUCUGGGUCACUGAGCUGGAAAUGAAUACCUGAAGAUGGACUGCUUGAAGAGGAAGCUCCUUUUAACUUUCAAAAGUCUAGUACAGAAGUUGGCUCCUGAAAGGUACCUUGAGAGAUACCUUGAAUAGAUCAGGUGUAUAUAAUUGGAAUAAAGCGCGUGAUGGGCCUCUGUGGCUCAGACUGCUAAUGCAGUCUGUUAUUAACAGCAGCUGCCUGCAAUUACUGCAGGUUCUAGUCCCACCAGGCCCAAGGUUGACUCAGCCUUCCAUCCUUUAUAAGAAUCUGCCUUUUAUCCAUUUUGCACAUAUGAAGAUGAAGAGUGUCUAAAAUCUCCACUGUGUUGCACACGUGAAGCCUCGCCUUAACUGAAUUUGGGAUCUCCUUAUAUGCAACUUCUCAAAUUCCAACUCAUACUAAGUCUAGUAUUGUAUCAUUCAGUAAUCAUGACCUACCUGUAAGUACACCAAAGUCUCUAAGUAACACUUCAACCUUGAAAUACACCCUUGUCUUAGAAGCCUUAUGAAAAGCUAUUCAAGUGCUUUUUGCCUGUAAAUGAAAAAUUGCAUAAUACUUUAUUCUUUCUUUAUUUUUAUUUAUUUAUUUAUUUGUCAAACACAACAAUAUAUAUAAGCAAUAAUAAUAAUAAUAAUAAUAAAUUAUAUUAUAUUAUAUAUAUUAUAUAUAUUAUAUUAUUAUAAUAAUAAUAUAAUAAGUAUAUGCCAAAAAAGUACAAUACUAAAUUAGAAAAUAAUAUAAAUUAGAAUUUUUGAUAUCCUGUAUGAUUGUCAAACUCGUAAUUAGCAGUGUGCUGCCUCAUUUAACCUAAUC